CAAUAGGUGCCACUAUCGGGCUCCUACUCCCGGGACCCCCCUAUAUAUUAUCACCUAUAUUGUUAUUAAGACUAGCAGGACAUUCCUUCCUUGUGUCUCCCCCGGCUACCGCAUGGGACCCUGCAGGGUUACGCCCGCUUUUUCCACCUUGGCGGGACCUGUCUAGAUUUUCUCCUGAGGAAGCGGAUUUUUCCGCGAAACUAGUUGAGACUGCCAUAACCCUCAACCCAUCGUGUUUUUCUCCUCAUCGGGGGAUCUUCAG
Long non-coding RNA from Rana temporaria (common frog), 262 nucleotides. RefSeq lists it as uncharacterized. NCBI's taxonomy places the organism in Eukaryota, Metazoa, Chordata, Amphibia, Anura, Ranidae. The transcript is spliced from 3 exons. The record is from RefSeq and is a predicted model, not a curated record.